GCCAAGAGGUGGGCGGUGAGACAGACGAGAUCGGGGUGCCGUAACCCGUUCCACGGCUGCGUUCUGUUUGUGAGCAGAACUGUUGGCUAAUUUCUCGUCUGGCAGCCCAAGCUUUAGUUUGGUGGGAAAUUCAAGACACAGCACUACUGGAUGGUGUCUGUACGUAGCACACAGCUGCAGGCCGUCACAUCAGCUGCCAAGAGGAUCGAAACGCAUCAUUUGACUUCCUGACGGGAGACUUCAUCAGAUCUAGAGAAGUCAAGGCAAGGAGGAGAAUGGGGCGAUGACAUCCAACUGAGCCAUCUUUCAGAAAUAAUGUCCAGAUGUGAUUAGGCUACUACCAGACAAAAGACCCAAAGUAAAAAAUAACAUGAAGGCUGAGGCCCACGUGGAAAAAGAAUUGUGUACGAUCCACAGAGUUGCAUCUUCCCCAGUACUUGGCACAGUGCUCAUCCCAGGGUAAGUGCUUAUUAUUGUUUUA
This is a long non-coding RNA of Ornithorhynchus anatinus (platypus), 481 nucleotides long. RefSeq lists it as uncharacterized. The transcript has 3 exons. NCBI's taxonomy places the organism in Eukaryota, Metazoa, Chordata, Mammalia, Monotremata, Ornithorhynchidae. The record is from RefSeq and is a predicted model, not a curated record.